Molecule: ribosomal RNA, 253 nt
Filed under: uncultured bacterium
Lineage: Bacteria
Description: partial 16S ribosomal RNA
Rfam family: Bacterial small subunit ribosomal RNA
Source: RNAcentral
UACAGGGGGUGCAAACGUUGCUCGGAAUCAUUGGGCGUAAAGCGCACGUAGGCGGUUCGUUAUGUCGGAUGUGAAAGCCCUUGGCUUAACUGAGGAAGUGCACCCGAAACUGGCGAGCUUGAGUACGAAAAGAGGAUCGCGGAAUUCCCGGUGUAGAGGUGAAAUUCGUAGAUAUCGGGAGGAACACCGGUGGCGAAGGCGCAUCCUGGACCGGCAUUGACGCUGAGGCGCGAAAGCCAGGGGAGCAAACGGG